UACGAGGGGUGCAAGCGUUAUUCGGAUUAAUUGGGCGUAAAGGGUGUGCAGACGGUUUGUUAAGUCGCUUGUUAAAUUCCUCGGCCUAACUGAGGGUAUGCAAGUGAUACUGACGGACUAGAGGGUGGAAGAGAGAAGUGGAAUUCUCGGAGUAGCGGUAAAAUGCGUAGAUCUCGAGAGGAACACCAAUGGCGAAGGCAGCUUCUUGGUCCAUUCCUGACGUUCAUACACGAAAGCGUGGGGAGCAAACAGGAUUAGAUACCCUGGUAGUCCACGCUGUAAACGAUGAUCACUGGACGUUAGUUCUGUUUACAGGACUAGUGUCGUAGCUAACGCGUUAAGUGAUCCGCCUGGGAAUUACGGUCGCAAGACUAAA
RNAcentral lists this ribosomal RNA (376 nucleotides) under uncultured bacterium. RNAcentral describes it as "bacterial SSU rRNA". It matches the Rfam family "Bacterial small subunit ribosomal RNA", at positions 524 to 898 of the family's 1533-position model. The record is from RNAcentral.